Long non-coding RNA from Triplophysa rosa, 988 nucleotides. RefSeq lists it as uncharacterized. The record is from RefSeq and is a predicted model, not a curated record. The transcript has 4 exons. NCBI's taxonomy places the organism in Eukaryota, Metazoa, Chordata, Actinopteri, Cypriniformes, Nemacheilidae.
UUUUUUCACUUUAAUCAAUGUAUAUGUAAACUCUCUUUCAACUCUUUACCAUAUGUAAAGCUAUUUUCUUCCUUUAUUUGUUGUGAACGACUCCUAUAAGAGAACACAAUUCGUUUAAUAUCAGUGAGUGUUUUUGGGCCCGUCCUUUGUUGUUUGAUGAACAUUAUACAUAGAGAUCUUUAUUAUGAUGCUGCCCCUUUAAGAGCUCGCGCAAUAUACUGGAACACGUGUUUUGUUUCCCAACUGUUUGGUCACGAAACAAACUGAAUACCUUUACAAUGUUUCUUGUUAAUAUGGGAAUUUUUAGGUUAUUUUGUGUUAAUAUGUCCGUUUCAGAGUAAGAAGUCGUGAAAGAGAACUGUGUGGAAUACUGUUGACCUGCUAUCUCUCCCUAAAAAAAGACACCUAAAAUGUUCAGUUAUUCAACUAUAUGAAGGGGUGGAGUGGAAUGUUAAAGAACUGAGCUGGCCAAGCCAAACAUCUCCAAAGGUCCUGAAAUUGAUUGGUGACAUUAUUAUCUCAACUCAGCAUUGUCCUCAUUCAACGUGGACCUGUUUCUGCAUUCAGUCAUGACGUUUAUGACAGAGAGUGAGAGAGAGAGAGACUGACAACACUCAUAGACGAGAGAGGGGCAUGUAAAGUAUGGACUGAAGAGAGCCAACAACUACCACGUUCACCUUGCCACUGCACAUGCAACAAAAGUCCUGUCCUGGGAUCCUGAUCUGCAAUAACUCAUUCCACCGAACCUGGCGGGAUCCUCAAUGUUCACAUACUGCUCCCUUGCCUCAACAACUACAGGAAGACAGCACCGUGGGAACAUCUUGACACCUUGCUUAUCUAUUAAGGUCACUUUUAUGCCGAUGGACUUUGGAAUUUUGUCUGACUGUGGACUGUGGGAGGAAGUCAGGGCAACCCUGGUAAUUCUAUUUAAGCACAUUCAUUUUAUUACUCUCAAACAUCCUGCUGAGCUGUAAGUAUCAUACUGAGG